AUGAAGUCCAAUCCCUUUGGGACUUCUGACUGAAACAGAACUGUAAGAAGCAUUUCAAUGCACCUUCCCACAUUUGCAGGAAGAUUAUGUCUUCAUCUCUUUCCAAAGAGCUGGAUCUGAAGUACAAUGUUAGAUCCAUGCCUACGUGAAAGGAUGAUGAAGUUCAGAUUGUGCAAGAACACUAUAAAGUUCAGCAAACUGGCAACGUAGUCCAGGUUCACAGGGAAAAAAUAUGUCAUUUACAUUGAAUGGGUGCAGCAGGAAAAGGCUAACAGCACCACUGUCCAUGUGGGCAUUUACUCCAGCAAGGUGGUUGUCACUGGGCUAACACUAGAUGAAGACCACAAAAAAGACCCCUGAAAGGAAAGCCAAAUCUUGUCAAGUAGCAGGGAAAGGGGGAUAUAUAAGGAAGAAACAAUAGAGAAGAUGCAG
RNAcentral lists this long non-coding RNA (432 nucleotides) under Homo sapiens (human). Its description in RNAcentral is "non-protein coding lnc-SENP6-7:1". Lineage: Eukaryota; Metazoa; Chordata; Mammalia; Primates; Hominidae. The record is from RNAcentral.